CAUGUAUAUGUAUAUAUAAAGAGGGUCCAACCUGUUCUAUGAAUUAUUUAGCGUUAGCCAAGUGGCCCUCCGUGUAUUUACCCUCAAACCAAGGGCUUCGUAGCAUUCGUGGAGCUCGCUUCAUUUCACCCCCGUGUCAGAUAUCUAUAACUAGCUUCAUUUCGCUCCAUUUUCAAUUCACUUGAAUCGAGAUCGGGUUCCAACUUAUUAUUCCAUGCUUGAAACAUUGACCGUUUCGACGUUUCGAGUGAUUUGUCUGAACUGUUUCGUUGGAAUAAUAGAUGGAGCGAAGAAAUCGUAAAGAAAAUUCGAGGGAAAUUUGUUCCUCGAAAAUAUCCGUCGAACGGAGAACUAUCUAGAAACCACUAUUCUCUCUCUCCCUCUCAUACUUUAAUAACGAGAAUAUCAAGCAUAAUGCGUAGAUUGCAAACUAUCGAGGAAUCUCGAGUGACGUCAACCCUUGACCUAUCGCUUCCCUCUAUAUCAAACGCCACAACUUGCCACGCUCUGUUGCCUCCGACAAAAUCAAUCUUCGAACCUCGGUUUUGAGUUAUACUCGUGUAAUGGACCGUGAAAGAGUGCUUCUCAAGUUUUUUUCUUCUUCUUCUUCUUCUUUUUUUUUUCCUCCUCUUUCAUAAUUUUUUCCACGCUCGUGGAAAGAUUCUUCUGGUUCACUUGGAUACGUUUAAACCGGAGGAAUCCAGAAGCGAAUCCCGUAAUCCCGUAAACGCCGAAUAAGAAGAAAAUUGGAUGUCACGAAAACGGUUGGCGGUUGAAAAAAAGAAACAGGUGGUUUCUGGAACGAAUCUAAGACGGUUCCGUUCAUCUUUUUUCGCGAUCGGCCACACCAACUGUGAAAUCGUGUUUAUCGCGCGUAACAGGAAGCGUACACGGAUUCACUCGAGCGAGUGGAGUCGCGGUUUCCGCGGUUUUGAUAUUUCCCUCGCGGCGAAUAAAUUGAAAUAGAACUAUCUUCGGUUACGAAUCGGAAUGAAUGUUUCGUAUCGUGGCUAUAGCGUAUAAUUAUUUGGCCGGAAUGAGAAUUCCCAGCGUUCUUAACGCGCAGAUAAACUAAUCAGGUGUCUAUAAACAUUCAACUCUCGUGGAUAAACUCUCGUGGCAAGUUACACACGUGUACACAACAAAGGAAAAUUGUAUCUGCGAUCUCGUAAUUUUAAUCUUCCCCGUUCAAAAUAUUUGCUAUUUAAUUGAAAAAUAAAGCGCGUAUCUUACGAUCUACAAUCUCGUUUGACAAAAAGGAAAAGCAUGUGAGAAAACUUUUCCACUUCUGCGACGAUGAAAUUACGAAAAUAUUAUUUUCCCUUAAAAAGAAACUAUAGUUUUACAAAUCGAGAACGAACAUUUUCAGAGUAAAAAUUUGUAUUAAUCCAACAACUUAACCCAUUUUAAACCCAAGGAAGUUUAAACCACCAUCGAAUUAAAUUAAUUACCCCUCGUUCCACGACAAGAUUAUAUCUUUCACGUCGAAGACAGAGGUGGCCAGUUGAUCCAUAAAAUUUUAUUAUAUUUUGCGAACCGUGGUUAACGUAAUUGUAAAAGAAAUUUGAGGUGUGGCGACACGAGACGGGCACGAGACACGUUUAUCAAGAGCGGCCCCCCUCCCCUUCUCGUUUCGGCAUAAUUUAUUCAGGAUGGCAGGAGGAGCCAUGCUCGGAUCGUGGUAGCAUCCGGCCUUUCUAAUGCAAUAUUGAUUCGAUUUCGCUGCCACGACGUGCUAGGUCGUAGCGCGCAAUUUGCAUAUGGAACUACACGGGCCGCGGGAACGGUCCGAUCACGGUGGAGGCGUCGUGACGCGGCGUGUCGCACUGUUUGCUAUUUGAUUGCAUGGAAAUUGCGUCGACUAGACGACCUACCUACGCACGAGCUUGAUUUCCUCGAUCCAUGCUUCGUUAGAACGCGACGCGCGCUAAUUCGUACUGCUAUCCGAUAUUUACGUGCAUUAUACCCUGCUUUGGAUGAGGAUGUAUCCAUCUUUUACACGGGGAAAUACUGUAUAUUCGAUUUUUUAUAUAUACGAUUCGAUGAUACUCGUGGAAUAACGUCGAAGAAUUGGCGAUCCUUUGGAAUUCGAUAUUUUCUAAUUAAUUUUUGAUUCGAUUUUCUCGAUCGAUUAUUAUUUUAUUUUCCAGGCCACGGGAUGAAGGCGAUGAAACGAAUUCGAAAGCUCUAAUCGAGGACGUUGAGAAUAUUCAUUUAUUUACGAGGCGGGCGGUGAAAAAUAAAUUUGUAAAAGUGUAUUUUAUAAUUAAAUUGAAAUUCGGGUUCAUUCACCUCCUCUGUUUAUUUUGUUUAUUUCCUUUGUUUAUUUGUUGUUUACGCGUUCAAUGUUUACUUGUUUACAUUUCCGGUUUAUUUACGUUCUUAACUCUCAGUUUGGUUGACGUUCAUCGUAAUCUAUACGAAACACAUCGGGCAGAAAGUACGGAUAAGCACGAGCCAGUUCCCAGAUUGAUUAAUUCGUUAGAUAAUAUUCGUAUUAUCGUUGGUUAACGUUUUAAUAAAACGGGGGGGGGGGAGGGAUGACGGCGUGAAAGAUUUUAUCAUUAAGGGGAAACUAAUGAAGUCUGCUGUAAUAAGAAGCUUGCUGCUCUCGCUUCCGCCUCUUCCGAAGGGAAAAGAAAAAAAGAAAAAGAGACGAGAAAACAAAUUUCUUUUAACGUUCACCUCACUUUACGAGAUUAUUCCCCUCUUUCUAUUAAUUUUCCCAACCGAUAAAGAAAUGGAAUAAUAAAUCGAAGGAAACGUGAAAGAAAGACAAUUAUCGUCCACCCGCUCCUAAUAUCGCGAAUUGCUAUUAAAAAACUUUGUUAUUUCCAAUAAAAGAAAUCGACCGCGGAGGAGGAGGGAGAGAAAGAGAGAGAAAAAGUUCUAUAGGCAUCGCCACGGUCGAAACUAUCGUCGAAUUUUCCGCCAGUGGAGCGAGCCAAUUAAUAUGCAGACGCGAAACUCGAAGGAACUCACAGACGACUGCAUAAAAUUUGCAUCCACACGGCGAAUCUACAACCAGCUAUCGAGACUGCAAGCUAAAGUAAACGCGAGCACGGAUGACACAAACAUCUCAACUCUGCCCGAAUUCUUCUUCUUCUUCCUCUUCUCUGAUUAAAUCGCCAAUUUCAAAUCUUAUCCCAAUUCCUUGAAAUCUCGUCAAAAGUCGAUCGUUGCAAAAUUAUCAAGGACCAAACUUGUCUGCGGAGGAAGAAGAUCGAAGGUUUCGGCCGUCAUCACGUCACGGCAACGAUAAAUUACCCAUGAACGAGCGGUGUGAUUGCUAUUAGCAAGGUGCUACGGCUAGGUUCGCAAUUAUGGUCGGUGGUUAGUUACCGUUAGAACCGCAAAUAAUUGGACGAAUUUGCGGAUCAGCGGAGCGGAUGCCUUGCGAGGGCAUUAAAUUGGGGGAGGGGGAGGGGAGCCCGGGAUGCCGGAUUCCAUCAUCCCGAAUACUUUGCAUCGGGGACGUCGUUACAAUAUUAAUUCAUCCCCUCUUGGAUCGCGUCUUGGAACAAUUUACUUGCGCUCGAUGCAUUGGCCCGCGAUCAGCAUGUAACCGCGCCGCCAAUUAUCGUUUCGAAAAUCCACGUUCAUUCACGUUAAUUGGGCUAUUAUGUAUCCUUCCGUUUAACGCGUGUCUACUUGUCGUAAAAAGACGAAGGAGGAAAUAAGAAACGAAAGAAAAGUUUCGGGAAUUUAGAAGUUAGAACGCUGAAAGAAUUCUACGAAGAUCGAUCGAAGAGAAAGUGAAACCGUGAAAGGAGGAAAAUAUGAUGAAACAAAUGCGAAACAGUCCUACCCUAGAGUUUCUAAAACAAGCAAGUUUGAAAAGAGUGAGUUGAGGAAAAAAAGACUGUGUUCUGUCGCGCACAAUUGGAGUUCUCUUCUUUCCAACUCUUUCUAUUUUAAAAUAGAAUAAAAUUAAAAUAAUUCGUGCUGAUAAUUUUAUCACGAAACGAUUUGAAGAGAUUGGAAAUUGAUUAGGAAUCACCGAUAUCAGAAUCUCUUCCAAGAAUUGCAUUUUAGAUUUAAAAUAAAAUAAAAUUAAAAUAAUUCCUGCUGAUAAAUUUUAUCACGGAAUGACUUGAAGAGGUUGGAAAUUGAUCAGGAAUCACAAUAAAAGAAUAGAUAGAGGGAGAGAUUUGUCGCGAUAACUGUUCGUCAUUCGCGUGCUUUUUAUCGUGCUCUUUACAUAAAUGUCGCACCGUGGCAACGAUUCGAGACGAUAAAUCUCAUUUUCGCGCGCGGUAUCGCGAUUGUUCGAAGAUCCGCGCAUAUUUUGCCGGCGGACGUCACGGGGAAGGAAAAAUAAUGGUCAUAAAUCUCGACGGGAGCGGAACAGGCUCGUACAUAGCACAAUACCCUUGGAUUUUUAAUGGAGCAUUUAUCCAAAGUGGAAGAAAUAUGGUGGAGUAAAGCUUAAAUAAUCGAACGAGAGAUAUCAAAGAGGAUUUGUAUCGAACGUAUUACAUCGUUUAAAGCCGAUUCCGAUACCAAAGAAUAUAUGUUUUCGCCUUGUAAAAUAACGUUUAACACGUACAACUGAAUAAAGAGAAUUGACUUUACCCCAUA
Apis mellifera (honey bee) is the source of this 4581-nucleotide long non-coding RNA. RefSeq lists it as uncharacterized. The transcript has 2 exons. The record is from RefSeq and is a predicted model, not a curated record. NCBI's taxonomy places the organism in Eukaryota, Metazoa, Arthropoda, Insecta, Hymenoptera, Apidae.